Molecule: ribosomal RNA, 497 nt
Filed under: uncultured bacterium
Lineage: Bacteria
Description: partial 16S ribosomal RNA
Rfam family: Bacterial small subunit ribosomal RNA
Source: RNAcentral
GAUGAACGCUGGCGGCGUGCCUAAUACAUGCAAGUCGAGCGAACAGACGAGGAGCUUGCUCCUCGGACGUUAGCGGCGGACGGGUGAGUAACACGUGGAUAACCUACCUAUAAGACUGGGAUAACUUCGGGAAACCGGAGCUAAUACCGGAUAAUAUAUUGAACCGCAUGGUUCAAUAGUGAAAGACGGUUUUGCUGUCACUUAUAGAUGGAUCCGCGCCGCAUUAGCUAGUUGGUAAGGUAACGGCUUACCAAGGCGACUAUGCGUAGCCGAACUGAGAGGGUGAUCGGCCACCCGGGAACUGAGACACGCUCCCGAGUCCUACGGGAGGGACCAGUAGGGAACCUUCCGCAAUGGGGGGAAGCCUUACGGAGCAACGGCGAGCGAGUUAUGAAGGUCUUCGGAUCGGAAAAACCGGUUAUUAGGGGAGAACCAAUGUGUACGUAACUGUACACGUCGUGACGGUACCUAAUCAGAAAGCCACGGCUAACUACGUG